This 395-nucleotide ribosomal RNA is filed under the name uncultured Pseudomonadota bacterium. RNAcentral describes it as "bacterial SSU rRNA". It matches the Rfam family "Bacterial small subunit ribosomal RNA", at positions 667 to 1060 of the family's 1533-position model. The record is from RNAcentral. Lineage: Bacteria; Pseudomonadati; Pseudomonadota.
AUUCACGUGUAGCAGUGAAAUGCGUAGAGAUGUGGAGGAAUACCGAUGGCGAAGGCAGCCCCCUGGGAUAACACUGACGCUCAUGCACGAAAGCGUGGGGAACAAACAGGAUUAGAUACCCUGGUAGUCCACGCCCUAACGAUGUCAACUAGUUGUUGGGGAUUCACUUCCUUAGUAACGUAGCUAACGCGUGAAGUUGACCGCCUGGGGAGUACGGUCGCAAGAUUAAAACUCAAAGGAAUUGACGGGGACCCGCACAAGCGGUGGAUGAUGUGGAUUAAUUCGAUGCAACGCGAAAAACCUUACCUACCCUUGACAUGCCACUAACGAAGCAGAGAUGCAUUAGGUGCUCGAAAGAGAAAGUGGACACAGGUGCUGCAUGGCUGUCGUCAGCU